UCCAGCGCCAUGCAGAUAUAAACAGCCCUUGCUGCCCGCCCGAUUAAAAGCGCCAUGCAGAUACAAACAGGCCUUGCUGCCCGCCCGAUUAAAAGACAGCUCGACCUGAUGUUUUCACAAAAUCAUUCAACGGAUGAAGCAUGAGUGUACAGGAAUAUUCAAAAGGGAAUUACAUGUAGGAGUAUUUACAGCUCGACCUGAUGUUUCUCAUACACAUACAGUAUAGCCUCAAUAUAUCAUUCAACG
Lineus longissimus is the source of this 246-nucleotide long non-coding RNA. RefSeq lists it as uncharacterized. The record is from RefSeq and is a predicted model, not a curated record. Lineage: Eukaryota; Metazoa; Nemertea; Pilidiophora; Heteronemertea; Lineidae. The transcript has 4 exons.